Sardina pilchardus (European sardine) is the source of this 506-nucleotide long non-coding RNA. RefSeq lists it as uncharacterized. The record is from RefSeq and is a predicted model, not a curated record. The transcript has 3 exons. Lineage: Eukaryota; Metazoa; Chordata; Actinopteri; Clupeiformes; Clupeidae.
CACACACAACCAGCAGCAACACCCUGCCCAUACCCUCAUUUAGCAGAGUGGAUAAUGGCAAUUACUCCUGUGCUGUAAGAGGACAUGAGGCUCACCCAUCACCACCUCUGUGUCUGAGUGGCUGGAGUGUGACCUACACCCCACAGAGCAUCUGUGCAUUGAAGGGCUCCUCAGUGGAACUCCACAGCUAUUACACAUACCCUUGUGAUCAUACAGUCUCAAAGGCUUUCUGGUUUACCACAUCUGGCACAGGAAAUGAGGAUCUGAGAGAAGAUGUACACUAUCAGGGUCGUGUGAAUUAUACUGAAAAUAACAACAGUAGCCACACUCUGAGCAUAAGAAACCUGACCCUUGCUGAUGCAAAAACAUACACCUUCAGUUUUGUAACUGACAAAGAGGGAGGAAAGUAUUCUGGUGGAAAUGUUGAACUCACAGUUACAGGAUUGCAAGUGCUGGUUAAUAAUCUAACAGUGAAGGAGGGAGACAAUGUGACACUGACCUGCAAC